Molecule: non-coding RNA, 75 nt
Organism: Hipposideros armiger (great roundleaf bat)
Lineage: Eukaryota; Metazoa; Chordata; Mammalia; Chiroptera; Hipposideridae
Source: the annotation of a RefSeq genome assembly
UGACCGUUAGCUCAGUUGGUUAAGAGCGUGGUGCUGCUAACGCCAAGGUUGCUGGUUCGAUCCCCGCAUGGGCCA